AAGAGAUGCACAAUUAGAUUGUUUUCAUUUAAACCUGCAGUAGGCAGAAUGUUUUUGGCAUCAUUCCAUAAUAACCUUUCAGCAUAUCGUAAUUCAAGUGUUCUGAGAUAUAACUAGACUUCUGCACCUCCUCAUGGCUCUGUUUUCAGGCUUUAAAUAAUCUAACCCGUGACGGGAGACUUUGACCAAUCACAGGUCUUUCCACAGGUCUACUCCAGUUUUAUCCAUUGUUAAAGGGACUGUAUGUUUAAGCACCUUCUACCCAAAAGUUAAGACAAUGUCAUACUCACAAAUCUUACAACAGCCAUUUGCGGCAGUCUGAAUUGUGCCCUGAGGAGGUUGGCGGUUCCACAGGACCACAUGGCUUGUAAACUUUGUUGGGCGGGCAGUCACUUGCUGUUAGUGAAGAAAAGAACUGAAUUAGUUAUUUUUAAAAUACGUUCUGCUUACCUACUGUAUACAAUAAAAU
This is a long non-coding RNA of Sebastes umbrosus (honeycomb rockfish), 469 nucleotides long. RefSeq lists it as uncharacterized. NCBI's taxonomy places the organism in Eukaryota, Metazoa, Chordata, Actinopteri, Perciformes, Sebastidae. The record is from RefSeq and is a predicted model, not a curated record. The transcript is spliced from 3 exons.